RNAcentral lists this ribosomal RNA (498 nucleotides) under uncultured bacterium. Its description in RNAcentral is "bacterial SSU rRNA". It matches the Rfam family "Bacterial small subunit ribosomal RNA", at positions 8 to 518 of the family's 1533-position model. The record is from RNAcentral.
AGGGUUCGAUUCUGGCUCAGGAUGAACGCUGGCGGCGUGCAUAACACAUUCAAGUCGAACGAUGAACGGACUUCGGCCCGGGAUUAGUGGCGGACGGGUGAGUAACGCGUGAGCAACCCGCCCCCGGAGUGAGGGAUAACAAGACGGAAACAUCUGCUAAUACCUCAUAUAGCAUCGGGUUCGCAUGUACCUGGUAUGAAAGGUUUACUGCUCCGGGAUGGGCUCGCGUCUGAUUAGAUAGUUGGUGAGGUAACGGCCCACCAAGUCUGCGAUCAGUAGCCGGACUGAGAGGUUGAACGGCCACAUUGGAACUGAGAUACGGUCCAGACUCCUACGGGAGGCAGCAGUGGGGAAUAUUGGGCAAUGGGCCGAAAGCCUGACCCAGCGACGCCGCGUGAAGGAAGAAGGUCUUCGGAUUGUAAACUUCUGUUAACUAGGGACGAAACAAAUGACGGUACCUAGAGAGAAAGCCACGGCUAACUACGUGCCAGCCGCGGC